This 774-nucleotide ribosomal RNA is filed under the name uncultured Neocallimastigales. RNAcentral's name for it is "partial large subunit ribosomal RNA". It matches the Rfam family "Eukaryotic large subunit ribosomal RNA", at positions 22 to 611 of the family's 3401-position model. Lineage: Eukaryota; Fungi; Neocallimastigomycota; Neocallimastigomycetes; Neocallimastigales. The record is from RNAcentral.
CGCAUCCGUGCAUGCAGUAUAUCAAUAAGCGGAGGAAAAGAAACUAACAAGGAUUCCCCUAGUAACGGCGAGUGAAGCGGGAAGAGCUCAAAUUUGAAAUCUUAAAGGGUCUCCCUUUACGAAUUGUAGUUUAAAGAAGUGUUUUCUGUUGAGGUUUUGGUAAAAGUUCUUUGGAAUAGGACAUCAUAGAGGGUGAGAAUCCCGUAUUUGACCUUUACUUUCAACUUUGUGAUACACUUUCAAAGAGUCGGAUUGUUUGGGAAUGCAGUCCAAAAUGGGUGGUAAAUUUCAUCUAAAGCUAAAUAUUGGCGAGAGACCGAUAGCGAACAAGUACCGUGAGGGAAAGAUGAAAAGAACUUUGAAAAGAGAGUUAAACAGUACGUGAAAUUGUCAAAAGGGAAGCGUUUGACACCAGUGUUGUUUUUCUGAAAAUCAAUUAAAGAACUGUUUAUGCUAAGUUGUUUAGACUUUAUCAGCUAACUGUUUAGUUUUGAGCUUUUCUUUAAUGCACUUUUCAGUUAACAAGUCAACAUCAAUUUCUUUUGCUGUAAAAAAGCUUGAGGAAGGUGGCUUGAGAUUCGUCUUAAGUGUUUAUAGCCUCUUGCCUAUGCAGUCGGAGAGAUUGAGGUCUGCAGCGUAGAUCCUUCGGGGCUAAAUGCAUUUGUGCUAAGUUAUAGCAUUUUAUAGACAACUUGUUGACUAUGAUUUGUCUUGUAGCUUACUCGCUUAUGUUAUUUUACCUACGCUUAGGAUGUUGAACGCGCACAGAGUCUC